GACGGAGGAUGCAAGCGUUAUCCGGAAUGAUUGGGCGUAAAGCGUCCGCAGGUGGCAGUUCAAGUCUGCUGUCAAAGACCGGGGCUUAACUUCGGAAAGGCAGUGGAAACUGAACAGCUAGAGUAUGGUAGGGGCAGAGGGAAUUCCUGGUGUAGCGGUGAAAUGCGUAGAGAUCAGGAAGAACAUCGGUGGCGAAGGCGGCUUCCUGGACCGACACUGACGCUGAGGCGCGAAAGCUAGGGGAGCAAACGGG
Molecule: ribosomal RNA, 253 nt
Filed under: uncultured bacterium
Lineage: Bacteria
Description: partial 16S ribosomal RNA
Rfam family: Bacterial small subunit ribosomal RNA
Source: RNAcentral